AACGAACGUUGGCGGCAUGCCUAACACAUGCAAGUCGAACGAGACCUUCGGGUCUAGUGGCGCACGGGUGCGUAACGCGUGGGAAUCUGCCCUUGGGUUCGGGAUAACAGUUGGAAACGACUGCUAAUACCGGAUGAUGUCUUCGGACCAAAGAUUUAUCGCCCAAGGAUGAGCCCGCGUAGGAUUAGCUUGUUGGUGAGGUAAGAGCUCACCAAGGCGACGAUCCUUAGCUGGUCUGAGGGGAUGAUCAGCCACACUGGGACUGAGACACGGCCCAGACUCCUACGGGAGGCAGCAGUGGGGAAUAUUGGACAAUGGGCGAAAGCCUGAUCCAGCAAUGCCGCGUGAGUGAUGAAGGCCUUAGGGUUGUAAAGCUCUUUUACCCGGGAUGAUAAUGACAGUACCGGGAGAAUAAGCCCCGGCUAACUCCGUGCCAGCCGCCGCGGUAA
This 449-nucleotide ribosomal RNA is filed under the name uncultured bacterium. RNAcentral's name for it is "partial 16S ribosomal RNA". It matches the Rfam family "Bacterial small subunit ribosomal RNA", at positions 29 to 523 of the family's 1533-position model. The record is from RNAcentral.